RNAcentral lists this ribosomal RNA (253 nucleotides) under uncultured bacterium. Its description in RNAcentral is "partial 16S ribosomal RNA". It matches the Rfam family "Bacterial small subunit ribosomal RNA", at positions 524 to 776 of the family's 1533-position model. The record is from RNAcentral.
UACGUAGGGGGCAAGCGUUGUCCGGAAUCAUUGGGCGUAAAGAGCGUGUAGGCGGCCAGAUAAGUCCGCUGUGAAAUCUCGAGGCUCAACUUCGAGCUGUCGGUGGAAACUGUCUGGCUAGAGUCCGGAAGAGGCGAGUGGAAUUCCCGGUGUAGCGGUGAAAUGCGCAGAUAUCGGGAGGAACACCAAUGGCGAAGGCAGCUCGCUGGGACGUGACUGACGCUGAGACGCGAAAGCGUGGGGAGCAAACAGG